This 719-nucleotide long non-coding RNA is filed under the name Sinocyclocheilus anshuiensis. RNAcentral's name for it is "lncRNA (ENSSANG00000002009.1)". Lineage: Eukaryota; Metazoa; Chordata; Actinopteri; Cypriniformes; Cyprinidae. The record is from RNAcentral.
ACUUGUGAUUGCAGUUAAAUACAGUUGAGAUCAGUCCUUUGAUGGGUCGCUCUGAGUUGCCACAGUGUCCAGUGGUUAUGUGGAAUCCCAACCCACACCAUGAGCCUCAGUGGCUCCGCCAAAACAAGUCUAAAUCUCCAAACAUCACUAUAAAAGAGUUAGUCUGCCUUCCAUCCAAGCCGUCCAUAGUGGCCAACCAGCGGAAGAAGAGUAACGGUCGUAAAAGGAGAGGGAAGAGAGGAAUUAACUCUACACAAGAGGGCGCUGGCAGCCCACGGUGGGUGGGCAUUGGCUUUAAUCCCAUUCCCAAAACCACCCCACAUCACCUCUCCCACAGCCUAGCGGUCAAAGAUAGUGGGUGGGGAUCAUUGGAUCAAAAACUGCCAAGCCUAACCACACCACACCCAAACCCAAAGAGCAGUAGUGUCAGUCCAGCCUUGAGCCUGAGUUUAGAAUCAGUAAAGUGCUGGAGAGGCCACUGAAACAGACCUAAACAGAUCUCAUACUUAUGCCACAUUAAGAAGACAAAGGUUUUUAACUGUAAAUGAAAAGUCUGUUCCAUAAGUAGUUAGUCGUGUCCAAUGAUUGUCUUGAAAGUCAAUUCCUAUUUUAAACAUAGACUAGUUUCAACAAAUAAUUAAAAUGUAGCCUACGUGGUUUGUUUUUCACUGCCUGAACAGUUAAUCUAUUCACAAAUGUGCAUUAUGAUGAUAAACAGC